This 405-nucleotide ribosomal RNA is filed under the name uncultured bacterium. RNAcentral's name for it is "bacterial SSU rRNA". It matches the Rfam family "Bacterial small subunit ribosomal RNA", at positions 354 to 775 of the family's 1533-position model. The record is from RNAcentral.
AUGAGGGAUAUUGCACAAUGGGCGAAAGCCUGAUGCAGCGACGCCGCGUGGGUGACGAAGUCCUUCGGGAUGUAAAGCCCUUUUCUGGGGGAAGAGAACGGACGGUACCCCAGGAAUAAGCCCCGGCUAACUACGUGCCAGCAGCCGCGGUAAUACGUAGGGGGCAAGCGUUGUCCGGAAUUACUGGGCGUAAAGCGCGUGUAGGCGGGACGACAAGUCCGGCGUGAAAGGCUCGGGCUCAACCCGAGACGGCCGUUGGAAACUGUCGUUCUUGAGGGUCGAAGAGGAGAGUGGAAUUCCUGGUGUAGCGGUGAAAUGCGUAGAGAUCAGGAGGAACACCCAUGGCGAAGGCAGCUCUCUGGUCGACCUCUGACGCUGAGACGCGAAAGCGUGGGGAGCGAACGG